RNAcentral lists this ribosomal RNA (464 nucleotides) under Vreelandella stevensii. Its description in RNAcentral is "partial 16S ribosomal RNA". It matches the Rfam family "Bacterial small subunit ribosomal RNA", at positions 339 to 795 of the family's 1533-position model. Lineage: Bacteria; Pseudomonadati; Pseudomonadota; Gammaproteobacteria; Oceanospirillales; Halomonadaceae. The record is from RNAcentral.
UUACGGGUGGCUGCAGUGGGGAAUAUUGGACAAUGGGCGAAAGCCUGAUCCAGCCAUGCCGCGUGUGUGAAGAAGGCCUUCGGGUUGUAAAGCACUUUCAGUGGGGAAGAAAGCCUUGGGGCUAAUACCCUCGAGGAAGGACAUCACCCACAGAAGAAGCACCGGCUAACUCCGUGCCAGCAGCCGCGGUAAUACGGAGGGUGCGAGCGUUAAUCGGAAUUACUGGGCGUAAAGCGCGCGUAGGCGGUCUGAUAAGCCGGUUGUGAAAGCCCCGGGCUCAACCUGGGAACGGCAUCCGGAACUGUCAGGCUAGAGUGCAGGAGAGGAAGGUAGAAUUCCCGGUGUAGCGGUGAAAUGCGUAGAGAUCGGGAGGAAUACCAGUGGCGAAGGCGGCCUUCUGGACUGACACUGACGCUGAGGUGCGAAAGCGUGGGUAGCAAACAGGAUUAGAUACCCCAGUAGUC